This 376-nucleotide ribosomal RNA is filed under the name uncultured bacterium. RNAcentral describes it as "bacterial SSU rRNA". It matches the Rfam family "Bacterial small subunit ribosomal RNA", at positions 524 to 898 of the family's 1533-position model. The record is from RNAcentral.
UACGUAGGUGGCAAGCGUUGUCCGGAUUUAUUGGGCGUAAAGCGAGCGCAGGCGGUUCCUUAAGUCUGAUGUGAAAGCCCACGGCUCAACCGUGGAAGGUCAUUGGAAACUGGGGAACUUGAGUGCAGAAGAGGAGAGUGGAAUUCCAUGUGUAGCGGUGAAAUGCGUAGAUAUAUGGAGGAACACCAGUGGCGAAGGCGACUCUCUGGUCUGUAACUGACGCUGAGGCUCGAAAGCGUGGGGAGCAAACAGGAUUAGAUACCCUGGUAGUCCACGCCGUAAACGAUGAGUGCUAAGUGUUGGAGGGUUUCCACCCUUCAGUGCUGCAGCUAACGCAUUAAGCACUCCGCCUGGGGAGUACGGCCGCAAGGCUGAA